CAAAAAUGUUCGAAUUGGUUAUUGAAUCAAUAGCAACAUCAAACAUAAACAUGUUCACAUAACACAAACACAGUAGAUCAAGAGACAAAUAAUAAUGCUGAGAUAGAAAAUCGCACAACCAAACUCAAACAGGUGGAGAAACAGGACUCCAAAAGCAUGACAAAUCAUCUGAGUUCCAAGAGUUCCUCAACUACUGUGAAAUGAGAAUGCAGGAGUAUAUGGAGCAAUAUAAUCACAUUGAUUGAUCAUUGCUUUCGAUGCAUUUGAAGGAACGUCUCAAUGAGACCAAAGAUUUACUACCAGGACAACCAAAAACUUCAAGUAGCGUAAUAGACUCUUGAAAUCAUAACAGAUCUCACAGGACUCUCAAAGUUCCCUCACUUCGACUCCUGUGCAUUGACAGCUCUGAUCUAAAGUUCAGUUUGUUACUGAUAUCAAAAUAAUGAUGCCGAAGAUUGGUUGUUGCCUUAGUCCCAGUUGGUGGCAGACGAACAUGCCUACCCCUGGACCGCUUCGGUGAGACUACAGCUUGACUUUUACGACCGUGAAUUGAUGAAGAUGUUGGCCUGGUGCCAGCUAGUCCAUGGCUACUCUUCCGUGUAGCUUUGUUAUCUGACUUUAGGCCACGAUCAAACUGAUGGGCAUUGAUGCCCAGCCUUACUGAUCGGUCUGCAGCAUCUUUUAAUGUGCUGACUCUAAUUGGCUGCCUG
RNAcentral lists this unclassified non-coding RNA (710 nucleotides) under Hevea brasiliensis (rubber tree). The record is from RNAcentral. Lineage: Eukaryota; Viridiplantae; Streptophyta; Magnoliopsida; Malpighiales; Euphorbiaceae.